Capsicum annuum is the source of this 218-nucleotide non-coding RNA. The record is from Rfam. Lineage: Eukaryota; Viridiplantae; Streptophyta; Magnoliopsida; Solanales; Solanaceae.
ACGACCUUACUUGAACAGGAUCUGUUCUAUAGGUUCGUACCACUGUAUCCUUGAUUCCUAAGGAGACAGAAAACCAAGUCUGGUUGAUGACUCAUGGCCAUGAGACUAGAGCGUGAUUAACAGUCACCCGUGGCUCUUCUAGUUGUGUGGUCCAGUAGAUGAUCGUUCUCAGACCUGUUGUUGAGGUCUGAGAUGGUUUCAUGGCUGUCUGACAGACU